RNAcentral lists this ribosomal RNA (1061 nucleotides) under Salmonella enterica subsp. enterica serovar Kentucky. Its description in RNAcentral is "partial 23S ribosomal RNA". It matches the Rfam family "Bacterial large subunit ribosomal RNA", at positions 566 to 1544 of the family's 2925-position model. Lineage: Bacteria; Pseudomonadati; Pseudomonadota; Gammaproteobacteria; Enterobacterales; Enterobacteriaceae. The record is from RNAcentral.
CCACCACCAAAGCAUUCUCUGGUGUUGAAGGCCCUGCAAAGCAGCAUCGCGGUGGCGGAGCGUCGUUUGCGACGCCCAACACACAAAACAAGCGGUGAGUGCUUUGGGGUGGGGUGACUGCGUACCUUUUGUAUAAUGGGUCAGCGACUUAUAUUCUGUAGCAAGGUUAACCGUAUAGGGGAGCCGAAGGGAAACCGAGUCUUAACUGGGCGUUAAGUUGCAGGGUAUAGACCCGAAACCCGGUGAUCUAGCCAUGGGCAGGUUGAAGGUUGGGUAACACUAACUGGAGGACCGAACCGACUAAUGUUGAAAAAUUAGCGGAUGACUUGUGGCUGGGGGUGAAAGGCCAAUCAAACCGGGAGAUAGCUGGUUCUCCCCGAAAGCUAUUUAGGUAGCGCCUCGUGAACUCAUCUUCGGGGGUAGAGCACUGUUUCGGCUAGGGGGUCAUCCCGACUUACCAACCCGAUGCAAACUGCGAAUACCGAAGAAUGUUAUCACGGGAGACACACGGCGGGUGCUAACGUCCGUCGUGAAGAGGGAAACAACCCAGACCGCCAGCUAAGGUCCCAAAGUCAUGGUUAAGUGGGAAACGAUGUGGGAAGGCCCAGACAGCCAGGAUGUUGGCUUAGAAGCAGCCAUCAUUUAAAGAAAGCGUAAUAGCUCACUGGUCGAGUCGGCCUGCGCGGAAGAUGUAACGGGGCUAAACUGUGCACCGAAGCUGCGGCAGCGACGCUUAUGCGUUGUUGGGUAGGGGAGCGUUCUGUAAGCCUGCGAAGGUGUCCUGUGAGGGAUGCUGGAGGUAUCAGAAGUGCGAAUGCUGACAUAAGUAACGAUAAUGCGGGUGAAAAGCCCGCUCGCCGGAAGACCAAGGGUUCCUGUCCAACGUUAAUCGGGGCAGGGUGAGUCGACCCCUAAGGCGAGGCCGAAAGGCGUAGUCGAUGGGAAACGGGUUAAUAUUCCCGUACUUGGUGUUACUGCGAAGGGGGGACGGAGAAGGCUAUGUUGGCCGGGCGACGGUUGUCCCGGUUUAAGCGUGUAGGCUGGUUUUCCAGGCAAAUCCG